GACGAACGCUGGCGGCGUGCUUAACGCAUGCAAGUCUAACGGAAAGGCCCUGCUUUUGUGGGGUGCUCGAGUGGCGAACGGGUGAGUAACACGUGAGUAACCUGCCCUUGACUUUGGGAUAACUUCAGGAAACUGGGCCUAAUCCCGAAUGGGGCCUCUGGCGUAUGGGUGGGGUUGGGAAAUUUUCGGCGGUUGGGGAUGGACUCGCGGCUUAUCAGCUUGUUGGUGGGGUAGUGGCUUACCAAGGCUUUGACGGGUAGCCGGCCUGAGAGGGUGACCGGCCACAUUGGGACUGAGAUACGGCCCAGACUCCUACGGGAGGCAGCAGUGGGGAAUAUUGCACAAUGGGCGGAAGCCUGAUGCAGCAACGCCGCGUGCGGGAUGACGGCCUUCGGGUUGUAAACCGCUUUCGCCUGUGACGAAGCGUGAGUGACGGUAAUGGGUAAAGAAGCACCGGCUAACUACGUG
RNAcentral lists this ribosomal RNA (468 nucleotides) under uncultured bacterium. RNAcentral describes it as "partial 16S ribosomal RNA". It matches the Rfam family "Bacterial small subunit ribosomal RNA", at positions 28 to 507 of the family's 1533-position model. The record is from RNAcentral.